GUCCAGACUCCUACGGGAGGCAGCAGUGGGGAAUAUUGCACAAUGGGGGGAACCCUGAUGCAGCGACGCCGCGUGGGUGAAGGAGCACCUCGGUGCGUAAAGCCCUAUCGGCAGGGAAGAAAAGCGAACAGGUUCGCCUGGACGGUACCUGACUAAGAAGCCCCGGCUAACUACGGGCCAGCAGCCGCGGGAAUACGUAGGGGGCAAGCGUUAUCCGGAUUCACUGGGUGUAAAGGGAGCGUAGACGGCGACGCAAGUCUGGAGUGAAAGCCCGGGGCCCAACCCCGGGACUGCUCUUGGAACUGCGUGGCUGGAGUGCAGGAGGGGCAGGCGGAAUUCCUGGUGUAGCGGUGAAAUGCGUAGAUAUCAGGAGGAACGCCGGUGGCGAAGGCGGCCUGCUGGACUGCAACUGACGUUGAGGCCCGAAAGCGUGGGGAGCAAACAGGAUUAGAUACCCGUGUAC
Molecule: ribosomal RNA, 463 nt
Filed under: uncultured bacterium
Lineage: Bacteria
Description: bacterial SSU rRNA
Rfam family: Bacterial small subunit ribosomal RNA
Source: RNAcentral